UCAGUUGUGAAAGUUUGCGGCUCAACCGUAAAAUUGCAGUUGAUACUGUCAGUCUUGAGUACAGUAGAGGUGGGCGGAAUUCGUGGUGUAGCGGUGAAAUGCUUAGAUAUCACGAAGAACUCCGAUUGCGAAGGCAGCUCACUGGACUGCAACUGACACUGAUGCUCGAAAGUGUGGGUAUCAAACAGGAUUAGAUACCCUGGUAGUCCACACAGUAAACGAUGAAUACUCGCUGUUUGCGAUAUACAGUAAGCGGCCAAGCGAAAGCAUUAAGUAUUCCACCUGGGGAGUACGCCGGCAACGGUGAAACUCAAAGGAAUUGACGGGGGCCCGCACAAGCGGAGGAACAUGUGGUUUAAUUCGAUGAUACGCGAGGAACCUUACCCGGGCUUAAAUUGCAGUGGAAUGAUGUGGAAACAUGUCAGUGAGCAAUCACCGCUGUGAAGGUGCUGCAUGGUUGUCGUCAGCUCGUGCCGUGAGGUGUCGGCUUAAG
RNAcentral lists this ribosomal RNA (493 nucleotides) under uncultured bacterium. RNAcentral describes it as "bacterial SSU rRNA". It matches the Rfam family "Bacterial small subunit ribosomal RNA", at positions 588 to 1084 of the family's 1533-position model. The record is from RNAcentral.